AGCGACAGUGAGGAGCAGGACCUCGAGGCUGACUUCUCCGAAUACGUGGACCCUCCCCUUGACUAGUCGGCCCGUAGCGGGUGUUUUUUUUUCUUUUUUCGUACGGGAAGAACAAUUAUCCCUGCAUUGUAAUAAUACUUAACUUUUUUCCUGUUUUUUUUACUUGCUUGUUUUCUCUCGUUUUUGGUUCGGCCGUCGAUCCGCUUACUUGCCUUUCCCUUUCGCUUUCGUUUCCCUACUUAUCUUUCGCUUUCGCCCUCUCUCUUCCUUCAAUCGCUUUUUUUCUUAGAGAAGCGGCCUGGGUCCUUCGGACGUUCCCG
This 320-nucleotide long non-coding RNA is filed under the name Zostera marina. RNAcentral's name for it is "long non-coding RNA (ZMAR_LNC000751)". Lineage: Eukaryota; Viridiplantae; Streptophyta; Magnoliopsida; Alismatales; Zosteraceae. The record is from RNAcentral.